UAAGCAUAUCAAUAAGCGGAGGAAAAGAAACCAACAGGGAUUGCUCUAGUAACGGCGAGUGAAGCAGCAAUAGCUCAAAUUUGAAAUCUGGCGUCUUCGACGUCCGAGUUGUAAUUUGUAGAGGAUGCUUCUGAGUAACCACCGACCUAAGUUCCUUGGAACAGGACGUCAUAGAGGGUGAGAAUCCCGUAUGCGGUCGGAAAGGUGCUCUAUACGUAGCUCCUUCGACGAGUCGAGUUGUUUGGGAAUGCAGCUCUAAAUGGGAGGUAAAUUUCUUCUAAAGCUAAAUAUUGGCCAGAGACCGAUAGCGCACAAGUAGAGUGAUCGAAAGAUGAAAAGCACUUUGGAAAGAGAGUUAAAAAGCACGUGAAAUUGUUAAAAGGGAAGGGAUUGCAACCAGACUUGCUCGCGGUGUUCCGCCGGUCUUCUGACCGGUCUACUCGCCGCGUUGCAGGCCAGCAUCGUCUGGUGCCGCUGGAUAAGACUUGAGGAAUGUAGCUCCCUCGGGAGUGUUAUAGCCUCUUGUGAUGCAGCGAGCGCCGGGCGAGGUCCGCGCUUCGGCUAGGAUGCUGGCGUAAUGGUCGUAAUCCGCCCGUCUUGAAACACGGACCAAGGAGUCUAACAUCUAUGCGAGUGUUCGGGUGUCAAACCCCUACGCGUAAUGAAAGUGAACGGAGGUGAGAACCGCAAGGUGCAUCAUCGACCGAUCCUGAUGUCUUCGGAUGGAUUUGAGUAAGAGCAUAGCUGUUGGGACCCGAAAGAUGGUGAACUAUGCCUGAAUAGGGUGAAGCCAGAGGAAACUCUGGUGGAGGCUCGCAGCGGUUCCUGACGUGCAAAUCCAUCGUCAAAUUUGGGUAUAGGGGCGAAAGACUAAUCGAACCAUCUAGUAGCUGGUUCCUGCCGA
This 904-nucleotide ribosomal RNA is filed under the name Cladosporium varians. Its description in RNAcentral is "LSU rRNA". It matches the Rfam family "Eukaryotic large subunit ribosomal RNA", at positions 35 to 964 of the family's 3401-position model. The record is from RNAcentral. Lineage: Eukaryota; Fungi; Ascomycota; Dothideomycetes; Cladosporiales; Cladosporiaceae.